CAGGCUCCCCAUUUUAUCGGGCUGGAGCCAUCCCACCAUGGUGGUGUCUCCAUCCCAGGUCCUUAGGUGCUGGGACCGCGCCCCCACCCCAAGCCUAGCUGAACUCUGAGUGCUAAGUUGCCUUUUCCAGCUAUCUCACUCUCCAGGCCUGCACAUCUGGAACCAUUCACAACGUGGUGGUUGAAAUUUCCACUAAUUCAAAUGGAAUGCUAGGGAUGGAGGCCAUGAGGAGGCCCUCGGCUUCCCUCAAGUCCAGGCAAGUCACUCUGCUGGAAGAAGCGCAUGCGUCAACAAACAUCCUAGAAAGAGCUCCCCAGAGCAGAGCCCCGAACCUGGGGCAAUGGAGAAUGGAGAAGCUCAGCUCUGGAUACGGUGGCCCUGAGAGACCAAGCCUAUGACACAGAUAACAAGCUCCAACGUCCUCGCCCAUUUUACAUGGUUCAUUGGUACGAACUAGAA
Molecule: long non-coding RNA, 459 nt
Organism: Microtus ochrogaster (prairie vole)
Lineage: Eukaryota; Metazoa; Chordata; Mammalia; Rodentia; Cricetidae
Exons: 2
Source: RefSeq, a predicted model, not a curated record